UCAAACAAGCCCAUUUUCAGGUCCAUCUCAUGUGCAAUGACUGCCAUGAGCACAGCAGGCCAAACUCCACUCCGAGAGCCCAUUCUCGGAUCAACGACAUUCUCGGGGUCACACAGAGCAGGAAAACCAGAGACUGAGAAGUUUACGGAUGAUUUGAGUGAAGAGACAAACAAAAGGACAUAGAGAGAGCAAGAGAGAAGGAGAAAGAUCAUUAGAGCUUCUGGAAACGGUUCAAGUCAUUCUCAUGUACGAGAGGUAUCCAGAGGGACUGUUGUGUGGGCCUUGGCAACAGCGGUUCCCCCGGAUCUGCAGUGCUGUCACACAUGGAUGGAGGCAGAAGAACAAGAGGGGAACAUGAUACCUCGGGGAGUGCGGCACACGACCCUGAGAUGACCCUGACAUAACCGUGCAGUUUUGACAGGCGCUUAAUGGCUUUUCCACAGCGGAGGGCCCCAGGAAUGUGCAGGCUGGGCUCCGGGUAAAGGAGCGGCGCAGGACCGGGAUGGCCACAGAUGUCAUGCCGCAGCCUCUCUGUCUCUUUUUCCACUCCAUUGAGCUUGUUACAGCCGCUCUCCAAACGCACCCUGCCUCCACAUCCUCUUCUGAACACGGCCCUCUCCGCAUGAGCCGGGAGCAUGGGAGGCCGCUGGAAAUGGGUUGUGAAAAAGGGCUCCCAGGGCUCACGUGAAGAGUGAAGGGAAAGAAAGAGAGGAGAGAACGACCCAGCACACCUGCAGGACGACCGGGCGCUUCACUGUGCUCAGGCCCAUCCAGUGGAUCGGUGGUCAUCUUGUCAUGACUUUUGCCCUCGCCCCCUUCGGGCCGCCCACCUGUCUCCCAUCAUGCCCUCCGUACGUCUCUGCCGGGCACCUCCCAAAAUCAGCAGUACCUCUUGGGCACAGCCUCCCAUUAAAGACAUCUGUGCAUAGGCGAUGAGCAGAUAAAUCAUUUUUGCAGAACAAUUUUGAUAAAUGAGCUGUUCGCUUUGGAGUGUCUGUGCUUCUGCGCUCCUUUACCCCAGUGGUCCACGGUCUCUGUUUCCAACAUGCUGCAGGCUUAUUUUAAACCCAUGUAUACACACACACACACACAUACACACAUGCCAAAACCACCUCCUGCCAACAGCAAAGGUAGAGGAAGUUGGAAAGAGCUUUAAAUAAGGAAAUGUUUUGAGGCAAGUAUUGCAUUAUUUGGCAAGUAAUACUUCCAGUUAACAUUAACAACCUAAUUUAGACAUAAAUUAACACAUUGGGGAGACUGGCUAGUUGCCACACUAGGAAUUGGUCACCAGGGCUAUAUCUCAACUGUAAGGAGUCAAAAGUCUACACAACUGUGUGUUUUCUUUAACAGUGAUAUGUUGGCUUUACCCGUUUAUUACAAUAUCAUCUUAUUUUUUAAUGGGUAAACAAGGAACAUGGUGAUACCACUUUGGGAU
Long non-coding RNA from Sinocyclocheilus anshuiensis, 1435 nucleotides. RefSeq lists it as uncharacterized. The record is from RefSeq and is a predicted model, not a curated record. NCBI's taxonomy places the organism in Eukaryota, Metazoa, Chordata, Actinopteri, Cypriniformes, Cyprinidae. The transcript is spliced from 3 exons.